AGCUCCAAUAGCGUAUAUUAAAAUUGUUGCGGUUAAAACGCUCGUAGUUGGAUAUCUGUGAGCGGUGGUUUUCCGGUCCUUCCCAGUGAAGAUUACACGGAACUCCGCUCGCAUUUGUUCAGGGAGGGUGGAUGAACUUCACUGUUCGACCACAUGAUCUGGAUUUUUACUUUGAGGAAAUGAGAGUGUUCCAAGCAGGCAAUCGCCGUGAAUAUGAUAGCAUGGAAUAAUAGCACAGGACUCUUGGUUCAAUGCUGUUGGUUUGUUGGACUAGAGUAAUCAUAAUAAGGAUAGUUGGGGGUAUUCGUAUUUAACUGUCAGAGGUGAAAUUCUUGGAUUUUUUAAAGACGAACAAUUGCGAAGGCAUCUACCCAGGAUGUUUUUG
Molecule: ribosomal RNA, 385 nt
Filed under: uncultured eukaryote
Lineage: Eukaryota
Description: SSU rRNA
Rfam family: Eukaryotic small subunit ribosomal RNA
Source: RNAcentral